RNAcentral lists this ribosomal RNA (743 nucleotides) under uncultured bacterium. Its description in RNAcentral is "bacterial SSU rRNA". It matches the Rfam family "Bacterial small subunit ribosomal RNA", at positions 36 to 773 of the family's 1533-position model. The record is from RNAcentral.
CUGGCGGCAGGCCUAACACAUGCAAGUCGAGCGGUAGAGAGAGGCUUGCUUCUCUUGAGAGCGGCGGACGGGUGAGUAAUGCCUAGGAAUCUGCCUGGUAGUGGGGGAUAACGUUCGGAAACGGACGCUAAUACCGCAUACGUCCUACGGGAGAAAGCAGGGGACCUUCGGGCCUUGCGCUAUCAGAUGAGCCUAGGUCGGAUUAGCUAGUUGGUGAGGUAAUGGCUCACCAAGGCGACGAUCCGUAACUGGUCUGAGAGGAUGAUCAGUCACACUGGAACUGAGACACGGUCCAGACUCCUACGGGAGGCAGCAGUGGGGAAUACUGGACAAUGGGCGAAAGCCUGAUCCAGCCAUGCCGCGUGUGUGAAGAAGGUCUUCGGAUUGUAAAGCACUUUAAGUUGGGAGGAAGGGCAGUUACCUAAUACGUGAUUGUUUUGACGUUACCGACAGAAUAAGCACCGGCUAACUCUGUGCCAGCAGCCGCGGUAAUACAGAGGGUGCAAGCGUUAAUCGGAAUUACUGGGCGUAAAGCGCGCGUAGGUGGUUUGUUAAGUUGGAUGUGAAAUCCCCGGGCUCAACCUGGGAACUGCAUUCAAAACUGACUGACUAGAGUAUGGGUAGAGGGUGGUGGAAUUUCCUGUGUAGCGGUGAAAUGCGUAGAUAUAGGAAGGAACACCAGUGGCGAAGGCGACCACCUGGACUGAUACUGACACUGAGGUGCGAAAGCGUGGGGAGCAAAC